Molecule: ribosomal RNA, 505 nt
Filed under: uncultured bacterium
Lineage: Bacteria
Description: partial 16S ribosomal RNA
Rfam family: Bacterial small subunit ribosomal RNA
Source: RNAcentral
GACGAACGCUGGCGGCGUGCCUAAUACAUGCAAGUAGAACGCACAGUUUAUACCGUAGCUUGCUACACCAUAGACUGUGAGUUGCGAACGGGUGAGUAACGCGUAGGUAACCUGCCUGGUAGCGGGUGAUAACUAUUGGAAACGAUAGCUAAUACCGCAUAAUAUUAAUUAUUGCAUGAUAAUUAAUUGAAAGGUGCAAUUGCACCACUACCAGAUGGACCUGCGUUGUAUUAGCUAGUAGGUGAGGUAACGGCUCACCUAGGCGACGAUACAUAGCCGACCUGAGAGGGUGAUCGGCCACACUGGGACUGAGACACGGCCCAGACUCCUACGGGAGGCAGCAGUAGGGAAUCUUCGGCAAUGGACGAAAGUCUGACCGAGCAACGCCGCGUGAGUGAAGAAGGUUUUCGGAUCGUAAAGCUCUGUUGUAAGAGAAGAACGGGUGUGAGAGUGGAAAGUUCACACUGUGACGGUAUCUUACCAGAAAGGGACGGCUAACUACGUG